GAUCGCAAGGGUGAAAUACAAGACAUUAGACGGUUGUAGUCACGAGUAGUGGAACAUGUCGUUUAAUUGGAUAUAUUAGCGUAGUAAUUU
This 90-nucleotide ribosomal RNA is filed under the name Debaryomyces hansenii. Its description in RNAcentral is "partial Bacterial small subunit ribosomal RNA". Lineage: Eukaryota; Fungi; Ascomycota; Pichiomycetes; Serinales; Debaryomycetaceae. The record is from RNAcentral.